RNAcentral lists this ribosomal RNA (339 nucleotides) under uncultured Pseudomonadota bacterium. Its description in RNAcentral is "bacterial SSU rRNA". It matches the Rfam family "Bacterial small subunit ribosomal RNA", at positions 29 to 351 of the family's 1533-position model. The record is from RNAcentral. Lineage: Bacteria; Pseudomonadati; Pseudomonadota.
AACAAACGCUGGCGGCGUGCCUAACACAUGCAAGUCGUACGAGAAAGGGUCUUUCGGGAUCUGAGUAAAGUGGCGCACGGGUGAGUAACGCGUGGAUAAUCUGCCCUUCAGUUGGGAAUAACUCAUCGAAAGGUGGGCUAAUACCGAAUAAUACUGUGAGACCUCGGUCGAUCAGUCAAAGAGAGCCUCUGCUUGCAAGCUUUCGCUGAAGGAUGAGUCCGCGUACCAUUAGCUGGUUGGUAGGGUAAUGGCCUACCAAGGCGACGAUGGUUAGCUGGUCUGAGAGGAUGAUCAGCCACACUGGAACUGAGACACGGUCCAGACACCUACGGGUGGCUG